CAUUAUCAGAGGAGAAAAAUUACUUUGUGGAUCAUACGCUCCCGAAUUGGUAACAAUGACAUGCAAUUUUAAGAGAGUGAAUCGGACAACCGAAUUUUGGUCAUUUGACGGAUAUUAUACACCCUACUUUUCAGCCCUCAACAAUACCAACAAUUUAUUUAUUGACGUUACCGUCUACUCUCGGCAACAGAACUUAGAGUGGCGACCUCACAUGAUCGUCCAUUACAUUGUGGACGUUUGUGCGUAUAUGAGCGGGAUUCUAGAAAAUAGAUUGUUGGACAUUAUUGCGAAUGACUUAAAAAAGUACAGUAAUUUUAUGCAUCCAUGUCCGCACGGAGGACAUUUUUACUUGAGAAAUAUGACCUUCAAUGACGAUCAUUUCCCGACCAUUGUUCCGAGGGCUGAAGUUUACGUUGAUUUUCAAUAUUUUAUGUAUGUGAAUGGUACAAGGAAGCGGAUGC
Bradysia coprophila is the source of this 461-nucleotide long non-coding RNA. The record is from RefSeq and is a predicted model, not a curated record. NCBI's taxonomy places the organism in Eukaryota, Metazoa, Arthropoda, Insecta, Diptera, Sciaridae.